GAUGAACGCUGGCGGCGUGCCUAAUACAUGCAAGUCGAGCGAACAGAUAAGGAGCUUGCUCCUUUGACGUUAGCGGCGGACGGGUGAGUAACACGUGGGUAACCUACCUAUAAGACUGGGAUAACUUCGGGAAACCGGAGCUAAUACCGGAUAACAUUUGGAACCGCAUGGUUCUAAAGUGAAAGAUGGUUUUGCUAUCACUUAUAGAUGGACCCGCGCCGUAUUAGCUAGUUGGUAAGGUAGCGGCUUACCAAGGCAACGAUACGUAGCCGACCUGAGAGGGUGAUCGGCCACACUGGAACUGAGACACGGUCCAGACUCCUACGGGAGGCAGCAGUAGGGAAUCUUCCGCAAUGGGCGAAAGCCUGACGGAGCAACGCCGCGUGAGUGAUGAAGGGUUUCGGCUCGUAAAACUCUGUUAUUAGGGAAGAACAAAUGUGUAAGUAACUGUGCACGUCUUGACGGUACCUAAUCAGAAAGCCACGGCUAACUACGUG
This 497-nucleotide ribosomal RNA is filed under the name uncultured bacterium. RNAcentral's name for it is "partial 16S ribosomal RNA". It matches the Rfam family "Bacterial small subunit ribosomal RNA", at positions 28 to 507 of the family's 1533-position model. The record is from RNAcentral.